GACAGAGGUUGCAAACGUUGUUCGGAAUUACUGGGCAUAAAGCGCACGUAGGCGGUUCGUUAAGUCAUGUGUGAAAUCCCUCGGCUCAACCGAGGAAUUGCGCCUGAUACUGGCGGGCUAGAGAUCGAUAGGGGUGAGUGGAACUCCAGGUGGAGCGGUGAAAUGCGCAGAUAUCUGGAGGAGCACCGGUGGCGAAAGCGGCUCACUGGAUCGAUACUGACGCUGAGGUGCGAAAGCUAGGGUAGCAAACGGG
RNAcentral lists this ribosomal RNA (253 nucleotides) under uncultured bacterium. RNAcentral describes it as "partial 16S ribosomal RNA". It matches the Rfam family "Bacterial small subunit ribosomal RNA", at positions 524 to 776 of the family's 1533-position model. The record is from RNAcentral.